ACACUCGCGGACUUGCAGCUGGCUGAGACAACUGUCAAUCCUCGCUUGAAAAACAGAGCUAGCACAAGUCGUAUGCUCUCAGAAGAAGUUUGAGAGACCAAUAAACAUUCCCUCCCUUGCUCACACCCAGAGAACAUCACUUCAGCACUUUCGUUUGAAACACCAAUGGUUUUUCAUACUGACUUUUUCUCAGUCCAUGACUCUCAAGAGGGCCUGGCCUGGGGAUGUGCCUGCCAUGGUCUCUCCCCCACGGUCCACCAGGGAAUGCAGAGCAACACAGAAGACUGAGCCUCAGGUGCCUAGUGCCUCAGGAUUCCUCUUCUGGACUGAUCAGACUCAGCCAAUCACUGGAAAGAGGCUCCUGUUGAAAAAGCUGCAGCCCUCUUCGGCUCCCUGACUGCACCUCUCCCCACCAUGCUGGGAGGUCAAGACGGAUGAGGGCGGGCGCCUCUCUGGAGCCAGGUCUAAUCAGAGAUACAGCUUCCAGAUGAAUCACCUUUGCAAGGCCUCCUUGCCAUGCCCCUUUGAAUUAAAAGAGCUCCCUCUACUAACAUAUUAAUUAAAAUGAAAUAUUAAUAAGCUGACCUCUAUUAUUUAUCAGCUGUUUGGGGAGAAAAGAAAAAUAUUGAGAUCCAAAGAGAAAUCAAUUUCCCCAAAACCGCCCUUCCCUGAGCAGACUGAUUCGUGUCACAUAAUAAAGAGAUAAGCUUAUCGGCUGCAUCAGUUCAAAGACGUGUGCUGUAAAUGUUGAUUUUGAACCAAUAAGAAGAUUAUAAGCACUGUCAUAAAAUAUCUUUCCGGGAUGUAAAUUAUUCAAAGCCCUCCGUGGGCAGACACAGUGUCUCAUGCCUCAGUGAUCCCCGUUCUCUGCAAUACAUUUCACUUAUUAAAGUCAGAGAGGGCCUCUGUUGAUAAAGCCCCCUAAAUAAAUGAUAACCUUCAUCUCCGUCUUCUAAAUUAUUUCCACGACUAGAAUUCGGAAUGUUUGUGCCAGAGGUGCCACAAAGUACGGCCUUCUUGAGUGGGGUAUGUCUUCAUUGGGAAGCUCGGUUCAGGUAAGGGCUGAACCCCUAGAUUCUUGGAGCUGGGCAGUGGCUACAGUAAUGCAUACAACCCUGGGGGCUCAUCUUCACAAGGAGGGAAGGGGUGAUGCAAGAUGCAAGGGACAAUAUGAUGAAAAGGCCUGGACCCCUAACCUGCCUCGCUAGUCAGGCUGAGUUGUUAUCCAACCUGAGUGAGUUGGACAACCAACUCCAAAAGUGAGUCUCUUGUUACAGGGAGGUGGGUAUAAUACGUGUGCCCACCAGGCACAGGGU
Bos taurus (domestic cattle) is the source of this 1316-nucleotide long non-coding RNA. Lineage: Eukaryota; Metazoa; Chordata; Mammalia; Artiodactyla; Bovidae. The record is from Ensembl.